GUUUGACAGUAGUUGACAACCUCAAACUAGCGCGAUUAAUUUACAGUUUAGCCGAUGUAAAGCGUUGGAUGUUAAAAAGUUAAGCAGUGAUGUAACAACUAUUGAUCACCGGUGCUCAGUGCUGGUGUUAUCGCAAACUCUAUUAUCCUGGCAAGCACUCCUGACGGAUUCGGCUCUGCACGUCGCACACUCGACCGACACUUUUCGAAGCCUUUAUCUUUAACCGCAUUAACGCAUUAAAGUGGGCCCCGCCGAUACGCCGCAUCAAGGACUUUAGAAGUAAUCAGAUUAAGCGUACAUUCAUUGGCCGUGACGACCCCGACACCACCUUCGACGACGUCACAUUUUUCGACACCUUAGAACUAGCCGGGACGACACCGACACGUGGAUCGAUAGCGCGCUACCAACAAACAAUGAGCGCCAUACCGGGGACGAAAACACCGGCUAGACGUCAUAAUCCCUUCGAAUUCAUGUUUCAUGAUCCGACAUCGUGUCUUUGCUACCGCUCUAGGCUCGCUCAUUAUUAUUAAUUGAAAAGUCAGUUCGCAGUUGCGCCCAAGGGUGAAAUUAUAUUUUCUUGGCAAUACACACAUGAAUAUUAAUAAUCAUUAUUCCCACGAGCA
Molecule: long non-coding RNA, 623 nt
Organism: Dalotia coriaria
Lineage: Eukaryota; Metazoa; Arthropoda; Insecta; Coleoptera; Staphylinidae
Exons: 2
Source: RefSeq, a predicted model, not a curated record